GACGAACCGUGCAAACGUUGUUCGGAAUCACUGGGCUUAAAGGGCGCGUAGGCGGGCAGCCAAGUCAGGGGUGAAAUCUUUCGGCUUAACCGGAAAACUGCUUUUGAUACUGGUUGUCUAGAGUGAGGUAGGGGCAUGUGGAACUUCCGGUGGAGCGGUGAAAUGCGUUGAUAUCGGAAGGAACGCCGGUGGCGAAAGCGACGUGCUGGACCUUUUCUGACGCUGAGGCGCGAAAGCUAGGGUAGCGAACGG
RNAcentral lists this ribosomal RNA (252 nucleotides) under uncultured bacterium. RNAcentral's name for it is "partial 16S ribosomal RNA". It matches the Rfam family "Bacterial small subunit ribosomal RNA", at positions 524 to 775 of the family's 1533-position model. The record is from RNAcentral.